GCCAGGUGCAGUGACUCACACCUGUAGUCCCAGCUACUCAGGAGGCUGAGGCUGGAGGAUUGCUUGAGCCCAGGAGUUCAAGGCUGUAGUAUGCCAUGAUCAUGCCUGUGAAUAGCCACUGCACUCCAGCCUGGGCAGCAUAGCAGGACCCUGUCUCUA
Molecule: unclassified non-coding RNA, 159 nt
Organism: Macaca mulatta (Rhesus monkey)
Lineage: Eukaryota; Metazoa; Chordata; Mammalia; Primates; Cercopithecidae
Rfam family: Metazoan signal recognition particle RNA
About the family: The signal recognition particle (SRP) is a universally conserved ribonucleoprotein. It is involved in the co-translational targeting of proteins to membranes. The eukaryotic SRP consists of a 300-nucleotide 7S RNA and six proteins: SRPs 72, 68, 54, 19, 14, and 9.
Source: Ensembl